Molecule: ribosomal RNA, 367 nt
Filed under: marine copepod environmental sample
Lineage: Eukaryota; Metazoa; Arthropoda; Copepoda
Description: SSU rRNA
Rfam family: Eukaryotic small subunit ribosomal RNA
Source: RNAcentral
AGCUCCAAUAGCGUAUAUUAAAGUUGUUGUGGUUAAAAAGCUCGUAGUUGGAUUUCGGCGGGUAGUGGUUGGUUUGAAUUGAUUCAACACUGACUUUUUUACCCGUGUGUUUUGCCAGAAUCUUACGGGUGAUCUUUACCGAUUGUCCGUUGGAACUGGCAGGUUUACUUUGAAAAAAUUAGAGUGCUCAAAGCAAGCUUACUGCUUGAAUAGUUGCGCAUGGAAUAAUAUAUUUUGUUGGUUUUCGGAAAUCGACUUAAUGAUUAAUAGGGAUAGUCGGGGGCAUUCGUAUUCAAACGACAGAGGUGAAAUUCUUGGACCGUUUGAAGACGAACUAAGGCGAAAGCAUUUGCCAAGAAUGUUUUCA